GAUGAACGCUGGCGGCGUGCCUAAUACAUGCAAGUCGAGCGAACGGACGAGAAGCUUGCUUCUCUGAUGUUAGCGGCGGACGGGUGAGUAACACGUGGAUAACCUACCUAUAAGACUGGGAUAACUUCGGGAAACCGGAGCUAAUACCGGAUGGUAUUUUGAACCGCAUGGUUCAAAAGUGAAAGACGGUCUUGCUGUCACUUAUAGAUGGAUCCGCGCUGCAUUAGCUAGUUGGUAAGGUAACGGCUUACCAAGGCAACGAUGCAUAGCCGACCUGAGAGGGUGAUCGGCCACACUGGAACUGAGACACGGUCCAGACUCCUACGGGAGGCAGCAGUAGGGAAUCUCCCGCAAUGGGCGAAAGCCUGACGGAGCAACGCCGCGUGAGUGAUGAAGGUCUUCGGAUCGUAAAACUCUGUUAUUAGGGAAGAACAUAUGUGUAAGUAACUGUGCACAUCUUGACGGUACCUAAUCAGAAAGCCACGGCUAACUACGUG
This 497-nucleotide ribosomal RNA is filed under the name uncultured bacterium. Its description in RNAcentral is "partial 16S ribosomal RNA". It matches the Rfam family "Bacterial small subunit ribosomal RNA", at positions 28 to 507 of the family's 1533-position model. The record is from RNAcentral.